RNAcentral lists this ribosomal RNA (484 nucleotides) under uncultured bacterium. Its description in RNAcentral is "partial 16S ribosomal RNA". It matches the Rfam family "Bacterial small subunit ribosomal RNA", at positions 30 to 507 of the family's 1533-position model. The record is from RNAcentral.
AUUGAACGCUGGCGGCAGGCCUAACACAUGCAAGUCGAGCGGAUGAAGGGAGCUUGCUCCUGGAUUCAGCGGCGGACGGGUGAGUAAUGCCUAGGAAUCUGCCUGGUAGUGGGGGAUAACGUCCGGAAACGGGCGCUAAUACCGCAUACGUCCUGAGGGAGAAAGAGGGGGAUCUUCGGACCUCACGCUAUCAGAUGAGUCUAGGUUGGAUUAGCUAGUUGGUGGGGUAAAGGCCUACCAAGGCGACGAUCCGUAACUGGUCUGAGAGGAUGAUCAGUCACACUGGAACUGAGACACGGUCCAGACUCCUACGGGAGGCAGCAGUGGGGAAUAUUGGACAAUGGGCGAAAGCCUGAUCCAGCCAUGCCGCGUGUGUGAAGAAGGUCUUCGGAUUGUAAAGCACUUUAAGUUGGGAGGAAGGGCAGUAAGUUAAUACCUUGCUGUUUUGACGUUACCAACAGAAUAAGCACCGGCUAACUUCGUG